AGAAUUCUGAGGUGUACGCGAUGCCUACAAACUGUGUUGACCGAACAUUUUAUUAUAACAUUGGGAUUCUAAAGGAAGAAUUGCUGACAUGCCUUAUCACUUGGAAGUCAAAUAUUUUUCUGGUGAAGCCCACCUGCCAAUAGCGGGUUCAACCUAACAUGGCAUUCAACCGGCACCAUCGGUUUUCUU
RNAcentral lists this non-coding RNA (189 nucleotides) under Alkalibacterium gilvum. Its description in RNAcentral is "6S RNA". It matches the Rfam family "6S / SsrS RNA". Rfam says of the family: E. coli 6S RNA was the first non coding RNA to be sequenced, but its function was unknown until recently. It consists of 184 nucleotides that fold into an extended hairpin structure with a large single-stranded internal bulge. The record is from RNAcentral. Lineage: Bacteria; Bacillati; Bacillota; Bacilli; Lactobacillales; Carnobacteriaceae. RNAcentral also lists the same sequence under 1 other name.